GCGAUUGGCGGAAAAGGACGAGGCAUUUUUGUGCUUUACCAUUAAUUAUAUAUUAAGAUUAUGGUCCUUUGUAUUCACCUUGCGAUUUAUAUUUUGAAUAACUAGUGUUCUAAUGCUGUCUAUCUGAGUCUUGUAGUUGUAAAAUUGUAUGGUAUUGUUAGCUUAAAUUUUUAUUUUUGUAAAGAUGAACCAAUAUUUCUACAUUUUUCCUUGCUUUUUAACAAGAUAGAGAAACAUGUAGACAAGCAAAAUAGAAAUAGAAAUACGUGAUGAUUAGUUCUUCAGUAUUAGGAUAAGGCCAGAUUUCCUAUGGUUGUAUUCUUAACUCUGUCCAUUUGCAUAAAAAUUAUUGAUUGUUGCUGUAAAUUACAUGUAGGAAUCAAUAGGGAAACGGCAGUAUAUAGCUAAAAGGUAUUCAGUCAUAACCAAGGAGAAAUUAUUCGGAUUAUGGCCACAUCAAGCGGUGCCACGACCCCUGAGGUCCGUCCUGCGGCAAAGGCCAACAAACCUGUGCGUGUAUUCUGCCGAGAUAAAGUAUUAAUAUGCACACACUAAAGCCCUGACGACUGACCGCUAGCCAUGCUUGGAUCGGUUGGACUCUAUAGGACCUAAUAGACAAUUUGCAGGUGAAAAUAUUCUCAGAUACAGAGAUUUUUGCCAAAAAAAAUGUGGUCAUUGUUUUCUGGAAAACAGGCCUGCGUUUUUUCAGUACGGGACUCUUGAAAUGGUACUAGUAUGAUGUCCAAAAACUUUAUAAAUCUGUCCUUUGGAAGUUGCUCAGUGACAGUCGGUCAAUGUUUUCCAGAAAACACCUACUACGUUCUUUUGUGCAAAAAUCACCAUGUCUGCGAAUAUUUUUGCCUGCAAAUAAUUAAUUAUGUCCUAUAGAUUCCAUUGAAACAUGAAAACCUUUAAAUAUUUGGUUAAGUUUGACAAAAGAGGUGUAACCUAAGAUGAUCCAAUCCUGGUCAGCAGUCAGUGGUCAGGGUUUUAUUGUGUGCCACAUUAAUACAUUCCUUAUUUGACGAUAGAUUUACCUGGAGAGACUACAAGCUUUAUCUUGCAAGGAACAAUGGCCACAGUAUUGUUUGAAGCACCAAUGUACAGCUUUGAUAAUCAGCUGUGGAUUGCUCUUCACCAUGUGCAAAUUAUUUUUAGCCUGAUAGUGUUUAAUGUAUUCUUUUUGGCCAUGUAGUAGUUUCUUUUUAUCUUUGCAGCACUACUUGGAUUAAUUGCCAUGACUACGUGUGCCCUUUGAGCAAUGCCCAGAAGGAGGGUUGAUGUGGGGCUCCACCCACCAGCACCUCAUAGCAAACACUUUUCCUCGAAUGCAAGUUAGAUGCAGUUAAAUGCCAGCGGCUGUUUGCUCUGCCACCUGGACUACCUAACCAUAUAGUAUCCCAUUAAAUCCUGCCAUUUGGCACACCCCUCAUGUGUCUGAAAAAUGCACUUAAUCAAAAAGAAAUUGUUGUGGGGGAUUCACAAUGCAGAAGUUGCAGGUUAUGCCUAGAAAGGAUUCUGAACAAGACACCCAAUGCAGACACAAAAAUGUAGUGCAAAAUGAGAACUGGAGGGGGAGUACCUGUAGCAGCAUGACCCCGCAACCUGAAGCUCAGCAUACUUUCCCAGGUUGGGUCAUGCUAGAUCCGCUGCCGCGUCCGUGCUCAUUGGACAGCGGGCUCCCCUCGUUCCCGGCGCGCUGACACAGAGCUUGUGUACUUAAGCCGCAGAGCCGCCUGCGAGAUCAGCAAUCCCCGAUCCUCCAGCAGAGCAAGACCACAGCAGCCCAGGACUUCCCAGUCCUUAGGCGACUGGGGAGCCUACCGGCUCCCCCAUAGAUCUCCAACUUCAUCCUCUAUCACCCAGCCAUGCCUGUGGGCACUCACACCCACACAGUCAUUCCCUAAAGAGAUAAGACACCAGACAAGAUAGUAAAUGCCCCCAUAACCAUCUACUAAGAACAAUCCUUAGACUUACAUUAAUGCUGCAUUGCUGGGGAUGGCUUUAUUUCCCAUUUUUACCAUUAGUUUCUAUUUCCUCCAAUUAUUUUCACAGUAUAAUUGAUGCAUUUGUUAUGUCCACACAUUCUUUUGAUAUUUUCUUGGGGAAAAAACAUCUCAUCUCAUUUGCUUAGUUGACUUCAAUAGUGGGGAUAUAAUUGUUGUUAAAUCUUUUCAGAAUGUAUAUGCUGUAAAUAAAUUUUCUUCUCUUUUCAAGUUUUUUUUUUUUUUUUUUUCAGAUACUUAUUUUUUUAUACAUCCAUACAGCUUCAUAUAACUUCUCUCAGUAUAAAAUAAAUUAUUUUAAAAAUGUAGAAAAGGUGUGAAUGAGAAUGAAUUUCUUCACAGUACAAGAGAUGUAUUUAACUGUUUUCAAAUAUAUCUUUGCCAGAAAUACAUGUAUUUCUGAAGAAGAUAUAUUCUAAAUAGGGUAAAUACAUCUCUUGUAUUAUGAAGAUAUUCAAUCUCAUUCAUACCAUUUCUACACUGUCAGCAUAAAUACAGUUCAAUGAAAGAAACGUUUGAUAAACAUGAAACAUGAGACUUUGACGGUGGUAUAGUACAUUCAUCUGUAAAAUUAUCUAAAAAUGACCUUUUGACUAAACACUUAGAAAAGUAGAUUUACCCCUCUUUUCUGGCUUCUAUUAAUGAACACUAGUUUUCUCUAUAGUAGGCCUAUGCAUAAAGCUAAUUUCAACAUAGCUUUCAGGUAUCUGAUCAGGUAUGUGUAUUUGUGAGUUUGAUUUUUCUAUAUUCAUACUUAGUAAACUAAUGUACAAAAACAGAUUCUUUUAAUUGAACCGUUCAUGCAAUAUGCUUUAUGGUUAUAAGUAUACUUUUGAACUGACUUACUUCAUAAAUUGUUAAUCACAAGAGGAAAAAAUAGUGGCAUCCCUCAUUUAUUUUUGCAAGUUUGAAUUUGUUUGUAUUGGAUCUGCAAGAUUGCUCUGAUCCAUUUUUAAAUUCUCCUCGGAAUUCUUAAUUAGUAAAUGUUGCAGUUGUUAGAAAUUAUUAUGGUAACCUUUUUUUCAUCACAAUCCAGAUUUCUGCAUGGUUCAAGCAAGAGGAGUUUACUGUUAUCUUUUUCUGUGUUUUUUUUUUUUUUUCAUGAGCCAAGCUUUUCUGUAUUAAGCAGGAAGACUGUGAGACCAACCCAAUCCCCUUCCCCCUUCUCUUCACAGAGUUUGGCAACAUAA
This is a long non-coding RNA of Penaeus chinensis, 3196 nucleotides long. RefSeq lists it as uncharacterized. The transcript is spliced from 4 exons. The record is from RefSeq and is a predicted model, not a curated record. Lineage: Eukaryota; Metazoa; Arthropoda; Malacostraca; Decapoda; Penaeidae.